RNAcentral lists this long non-coding RNA (267 nucleotides) under Capra hircus (goat). Its description in RNAcentral is "lncRNA (ENSCHIG00010010838.1)". Lineage: Eukaryota; Metazoa; Chordata; Mammalia; Artiodactyla; Bovidae. The record is from RNAcentral.
AUGGAUAAAAUCAACAUGGUGAUAUUAUUGACCAUGCAAUUAACACAAGAUGGACACAGCAUGGAAGUAGAAGAAAGGAGGUUCCUGUUCAGUCUAGUUUGGAUGCUCAUGACCAUCAGUGGGCCAUUUCCCCUUCAUCAAAAUAUUUUUAAUGAGACUUCUGUCAAACUAAAUGAAACAGAAUUUGAGGAAAUUACAAGAUGUGAACUCAAGUGGAAGCAGAGCAAAAAAAAAAAGAUCUUGUUUGGCCAUAGCAGUACUCAAUAA